AGAGCGAACGCUGGCGGCAGGCUUAACACAUGCAAGUCGAACGCGUGUAGCAAUACACGAGUGGCGCACGGGUGAGUAACGCGUGGGCAUCUGCCUCAUGGUUCGGAAUAACCCCGGGAAACUGGGGCUAAUACCGGAUGGUACCUUCGGGUUAAAGAUUUAUCGCCAUGAGAUGAGCCCGCGUCCGAUUAGCUAGUUGGUGGGGUAAUGGCCUACCAAGGCGACGAUCGGUAGCUGGUCUGAGAGGACGAUCAGCCACACUGGGACUGAGACACGGCCCAGACUCCUACGGGAGGCAGCAGUGGGGAAUAUUGGACAAUGGGGGCAACCCUGAUCCAGCCAUGCCGCGUGAGUGAUGAAGGCCUUCGGGUUGUAAAGCUCUUUUGGCGGGGACGAUGAUGACGGUACCCGCAGAAUAAGCCCCGGCUAACUUCGUGCCAGCAGCCGC
RNAcentral lists this ribosomal RNA (448 nucleotides) under uncultured bacterium. RNAcentral describes it as "SSU rRNA". It matches the Rfam family "Bacterial small subunit ribosomal RNA", at positions 26 to 518 of the family's 1533-position model. The record is from RNAcentral.